Molecule: ribosomal RNA, 738 nt
Filed under: uncultured bacterium
Lineage: Bacteria
Description: bacterial SSU rRNA
Rfam family: Bacterial small subunit ribosomal RNA
Source: RNAcentral
CGCUGGCGGCAGGCCUAACACAUGCAAGUCGAGCGGAUGAAGGGAGCUUGCUCCCUGAUUUAGCGGCGGACGGGUGAGUAAUGCCUAGGAAUCUGCCUGGUAGUGGGGGAUAACGUUCCGAAAGGAACGCUAAUACCGCAUACGUCCUACGGGAGAAAGCAGGGGACCUUCGGGCCUUGCGCUAUCAGAUGAGCCUAGGUCGGAUUAGCUAGUUGGUGAGGUAAUGGCUCACCAAGGCGACGAUCCGUAACUGGUCUGAGAGGAUGAUCAGUCACACUGGAACUGAGACACGGUCCAGACUCCUACGGGAGGCAGCAGUGGGGAAUAUUGGACAAUGGGCGAAAGCCUGAUCCAGCCAUGCCGCGUGUGUGAAGAAGGUCUUCGGAUUGUAAAGCACUUUAAGUUGGGAGGAAGGGCAGUAAGUUAAUACCUUGCUGUUUUGACGUUACCGACAGAAUAAGCACCGGCUAACUUCGUGCCAGCAGCCGCGGUAAUACGAAGGGUGCAAGCGUUAAUCGGAAUUACUGGGCGUAAAGCGCGCGUAGGUGGUUCGUUAAGUUGGAUGUGAAAGCCCCGGGCUCAACCUGGGAACUGCAUCCAAAACUGGCGAGCUAGAGUACGGUAGAGGGUGGUGGAAUUUCCUGUGUAGCGGUGAAAUGCGUAGAUAUAGGAAGGAACACCAGUGGCGAAGGCGACCACCUGGACUGAUACUGACACUGAGGUGCGAAAGCGUGGGGA